UGAAACUUGCAAGAACGGGC
RNAcentral lists this microRNA (20 nucleotides) under Ciona intestinalis (vase tunicate). RNAcentral describes it as "cin-miR-4000d-5p". Lineage: Eukaryota; Metazoa; Chordata; Ascidiacea; Phlebobranchia; Cionidae. The record is from miRBase by way of RNAcentral.